Molecule: long non-coding RNA, 1041 nt
Organism: Lutra lutra (Eurasian river otter)
Lineage: Eukaryota; Metazoa; Chordata; Mammalia; Carnivora; Mustelidae
Exons: 3
Source: RefSeq, a predicted model, not a curated record
CUUUUGCGGCUCGGUUACGGAAGUUUCAACGACUCAUUGGUUGUAACGAAGGUGGUGUCUCCUGGCUGCGUGGCCAGUAAAGGGCAAGAAUAAAGCGGGUUCCGCCUCUUCCUCGGGCGGCUGAGUCCUUCCGUUGCCGUCGGGCAAUGCUCUACCUCUUUCUCCAGUGUUCUUCCACAUGCAUGAGAAACUUGGUUAAGGGGGCAGACAGACAUGUAACUAUAUAGUAAGGUAAUGAAGAAACGACUCAGGGACGCUUAUUCUUCAGUGGCCUAUCCUGAUGCCUUUUCCAAUUUACCAUGCUUGUUACUUUACACUUUUAUCACUAUACAAAUAGGUAAUAAUUUUAAGUUUGGUAGGAGUUUCUAGUUUUUAAUUUUUUUUUUCUUAGAGAAUGUUGAGCUUUACUUGCUAAAUUUGUUAUGUCCUCUAAUAAGAAAGUUUUACUUAAAUCUUUAGGUCUUAUCAAAAAAAGCUGAAAGAAAAUUUUAAGUCCUUCAUAUUAUUUUCAAAUUAGAAAAAAUUUACCAAACUGAGAACAGAUCAUAUGACCUCCUAGAUGCUUUUAAUUUCACACCAUGAUCUAAUCUUUUCAUUGCACAGCCUAUUAUGGGAACACUUAUCUAAACAUUCCCUUCAGUUAUUCUACUAAACGGUUUUAUUCCUACUGAUAUGCUUUCCUUAACUCUUUACCACACAUAAUCAGAAUUAGUUUUUAUAUUGUGUCAUUUGUCAUUCGCAUUCAUUGAGGUUAAUAAAAAAGUCAAUAAAAUGACCUGCAAUUAAAGCAAUGACAAAAACUGUCUUCAACAGAAUUUAGAAUUUUCAUAGUAAUUUAAAUAUGGGACAAAGUCAGGCACCAGAAAAAAAACUGUAUUUUGAACUCAAGAAAUGGAUAGUGUAUAUGUAAACAACAGAUGACAAGGAUACCACGUUAAUGAUAUAUCUGCCUUGUUUUCAUACCCUGCUACUCGAAUAAAAAUUGAUGCAACCUUUCUGAUAAGCAGUUUGUCCAUACAUAAAAAAGCUCUAAGUGUUCAU